CCUACGGGUGGCAGCAGUGAGGAAUAUUGGUCAAUGGACGAGAGUCUGAACCAGCCAAGUAGCGUGAAUGAUGACUGCCCUAUGGGUUGUAAACUGCUUUUACAUGGGAAUAAAACAGGGCAUUCAUACCCGCUUGUAGGUACCAUACGAAUAAGGAUCGGCUAACUCCGUGCCAGCAGCCGCGGUAAUACGGAGGGUCCGAGCGUUAUCCGGAUUUAUUGGGUUUAAAGGGAGCGUAGGUGGAUUGUUAAGUCAGUUGUGAAAAUUUGCGGCUCAACCGUUGAAUCGCAGUUGAAACUGGAAGUCUUGAGUUCAGUAGAGGCAGGCGGAAUUCGUGGUGUAGCGGUGAAAUGCUUAGAUAUCACGAAGAACUCCGAUUGCGAAGGCAGCUCACUGGACUGCAACUGACACUGAUGCUCGAAAGUGUGGGUAUCAAACAGGAUUAGAUACCCGAGUAGUC
This 460-nucleotide ribosomal RNA is filed under the name uncultured bacterium. Its description in RNAcentral is "partial 16S ribosomal RNA". It matches the Rfam family "Bacterial small subunit ribosomal RNA", at positions 338 to 795 of the family's 1533-position model. The record is from RNAcentral.